Molecule: non-coding RNA, 208 nt
Organism: Oryza brachyantha (malo sina)
Lineage: Eukaryota; Viridiplantae; Streptophyta; Magnoliopsida; Poales; Poaceae
Source: Rfam
AAUAACUUCAUUUUUUGUUUCUCCAUGUCCAACGUUUGACCAUUCGUCUUAUUUGAAAAAUUUGUACAAAAAUUUAAAAAAUUAAUCAUGCAUAAAGUACUAUUCAUAUUUUAUCAUCUAGUAAUAAUAAAAAUAUUAAUCGCAAAAAAAAUUUCAAUAAGACGAAGAGUCAAAACAUUGUACCAAAAAACUGAAAAAUGAAGUUAUU